UAAUCCUAUCUUCCAAAGCACUUGCAACACCCACCCCCCACCACCACCACCACCGCCACUGCUUGGUAUCGUCCUCAAACUUUAGCUAGGAUCAGAAAAGAAAAUCCUUCCUUGCAGUGGGUGCACUGAAUCAUACACAGAGAGGCACUUGCUUCAAAAAAGAUGAGUUCUGAGCUGCAUGAAGUUUUAAAUGUAAAAUUGUCAACUUUAUCAAGUCCAGGCCCUUAGUGCUCACCUGUUUCACACUCUUUGCAAAGAGAUGGGCUCAGAACAUCAGCAACUGUUGCCUCUCACAGAGAUUCGCUGACUUUCGAGGGGGAAAGUACUUGACAGACUGUUUGAAUUGUGCACAGAAGUUCACAUAUUUCUUUCUGCUCAUUCAUUUCCACCUUCCUCUGUGUUUCACAAUACUGUGUGAUUAGCUCAACUUGCCUACCUUGCAGAUAUAUUUAGCAAGCUGAAUGAUCUAAAUUUGUCCAUGCAAGCCCACAACCCUAACAUUCUGAAUCUCUAUGACAAUGUGGAUGCUUUGAUCAAAAAACCUGAAUUCUGGAAGUUCACAUGUGCAGAUAAAGACUCCAUGUGUUUUCCACUACUCCAUGCAUAUGUCACUGAUGUUGGCACAGGAGAAAUUCAAUAGAGCAAAAUUAAAGAAAUAAUAGUAGAUCAUUUGGCCAACUUGACAUCUGAGGUCAAGUCAUAUUCCCCCAACAUUGAACACAGCUCAGCUCAACUUGACUAGGUAAGACAGACAUUCAUUUUGUCAGAUGUUAGCCACAGUAACCUCUCUGCCAGUCAGCAAGAAAAUCUUCUUGAGCUGGCCUCAGACCGUGGGCUGCGAAUAAAGUUUAAUGACUCCACACUAACCCAGUUCUGGUGUUUAGUACAGAAAGAGCUCACUGACCUUAGGAAUCAUGCUUUGGAUGUUGUUACCUUUUGGGUCAACAUAUCUUUGUGAAGUCUCAUUUUCUACCUUGACUGCCAUCAAGACAAAGAGUAGCAACAGACUCAAUGUAGAGAAAACCUUAAUUGUUGCUGUCGCUUCACUGCCUCCCAGAAUGACAAGGCUCACAAGUGAAAAGCAGACUCAAGUAUCACACUGAAAUGACCCCAGCGCAGUAACAUCCUGCUCCUGGUCCAAUCUAGCCAGUACACCCAGUCCGCCUCUCCCUCAAUGUGAAGAGGACCAUGUACACUUGUGGUAAGCAAGCUAAGAUUUUUCCCAGACACCUUAGUUAAAUGCUCACUGGUUUGGAUUAAAACAUAAAACAAGUUUAUUAACUUCAAAAGAUAGAUUUUAAGUGAUUAUAAGGGAUAGCAAACGGAUCAAAGCUGAUUACCUAGCAAAUAAACAAAAGACAGAAACUAAGCUUAAUAUACUACAUAGAUUGGAUAUGAAUUGCAAAUCCUCACCCUAGUGAUGAUACAAGCAGGUUGCAUAUUCUUAAGGGGGCAAGCUGCACUAACUUACAGCUUGGAAUCCCCAGGUGUUCUACUCACAGGCUAAAAAUUCCUCUAACCUGGAUCCAGCACUUGCCCCAGUUCAGUCUUUGUUCCUCAGGUGUUUCCAGGAGUCUCUUUGGCAGGGGAGUCAGUGAAAAACCUCAAUUAUGUCACUCCCCUGCCUGAAAUAGCCUUUGCAUAUGGCAGGAACCUUUUGUUUCCAAGCUUGGUUCCCAUACCAGCCAUGCUGAUAUCCCAAGAUGAAGUCCAGUCCCAGGUGACCUGGUCACAUGUUCCUGUAGUGUCACAGCAGCCAUGAAUCGGAGGCCUUUUGUAGCAUACUCAGGAAGGCCCCUCAGUGGGAGAUAAGUUUCUUCUAAGACCUAUUUUUUUCUCCUAAUGGCUCAUUAACCUGAAUGGGCCCUUCCCCGCCAGCCAUCUAGACAGAGCGCCUUUUGCCUAGUGGGUGUUUCCCAGGGGAAAACACAUUUGUAACACAGAUACAUAGUCAAUAUUCCUAACUUCAGAUACAAAAAUGAUACAUGUAUGCAAAUAGGGUAAUCAUGUUCAGUAAAUCAUAACCUUUUCAAUGCUAUCUCACAACCUAUCUUGCAUAAAAUACAUCAUAAUUAUGCCAUAAUCAUAUCAUAAUAUCUCUGUGAAGAAUAUGGGGUGCAGCGUCACAAGGGGGAAUAGCAGUAGCCUUAUCCCUGAUAAAAAUGUGUAAUCAACUGUUUUACAUAAAAUGGCUUAAACAAAACCUUCAUUUUGUCUACAUGGGGUGUAUUAGCUAAUUUUACAUAGUUAGAUUUCUUUUAAGUUAGGCUGUAUGUAUUGCGUGUUUGGUAUAAAACAAUCCUGAACAACAAAUAUGAAUGUGUGUGUGAAUGGGUGAUUUAUCUAUAAAAUACGUAGUGAGGUGGAGUGGCCUCCCUCCCAGGCUGACAGGGAGGAACCACGCCCCACCCUCUCGUGGGUGGAGCUCGGCCGGGUCUGCCCCUCAUGCUGGAAGCAGAGGGAGGGAACAGGAAGUAUAAGAGGCAGGACCUCCAGCUAAGUUGAGCCAGAAUCAGGGAAGGAGCUGGACGCCUCUGCUUUGCUGCUGGCCCCUGCACCAGGGACCGAGCUGUGCCAACCUCUGCCCGUGGAGCAGGACCCAGAGGAAGAGGAGCUGCUAAGACUGCUGUUGGCCGAGUACCCCGAGGAGCUGCUGGGGCUGCUGGGUGCCGUGUACCCAAAGGAGACUGAGGACCCAGGAGCAACGAGACCCUGCAAAGAGAUCUUCCUUGUCAAAGUUUUCCAGCAUGUCAUCAGAAAAUACUGGAGAAUGGUCGGAGGCCUUGCGUGCAACCCCACAAAUCCAAGAAAUUACUAACAAGGUGAAGCCACAGCUGGAAGAAAAAGUGCAUAAGGAAUAUACAGUCUUUGAAGCUGUAAUAUAUAGACAGCUGAAGCUGUGUGGUGAAACACACUACCUCAUUAAGGUCUCCGUCAGGAAGAUGCCUGAUGAGUGUGUACACUUGUACGUGGUACAAGCCUUAACUCAUGUCCUACUGGAGCCAGAACUCAUCAAGUAUCAGCUG
This is an RNA transcript of Chelonia mydas (Green sea turtle), 3026 nucleotides long. It is a transcript of the gene named leukocyte cysteine proteinase inhibitor 1, with no coding region annotated. The transcript has 5 exons. The record is from RefSeq and is a predicted model, not a curated record. NCBI's taxonomy places the organism in Eukaryota, Metazoa, Chordata, Testudines, Cheloniidae.